GAUGAACGCUGGCGGCGUGCCUAAUACAUGCAAGUCGAGCGAACAGAUGAGGAGCUUGCUCCUCUGACGUUAGCGGCGGACGGGUGAGUAACACGUGUAUAACCUACCUAUAAGACUGGGAUAACUUCGGGAAACCGGAGCUAAUACCGGAUAAUAUAUUGCACCGCAUGGUUCAAUAGUGAAAGACGGUUUUGCUGUCACUUAUAGAUGGAUCCGCGCCGCAUUAGAUAGUUGGUAAGUUAACGGCUUAUCAAGGCAACGAGGCGUAGCCGACCGGAGAGGGUGAUCGGCCACACUGGAGCUGAGACACGGUCCAGGCUCCUACGGGAGGCAGCAGUAGGGAAUCUUCCGCAAUGGGCGAAAGCCUGACGGAGCAACGCCGCGUGAGUGAUGAAGGUCUUCGGAGCGUAAAACUCUGUUAUUAGGGAAGAACAAAUGUGUAAGUAACUAUGCACGUCUUGACGGUACCUAAUCAGAAAGCCACGGCUAACUACGUG
RNAcentral lists this ribosomal RNA (497 nucleotides) under uncultured bacterium. Its description in RNAcentral is "partial 16S ribosomal RNA". It matches the Rfam family "Bacterial small subunit ribosomal RNA", at positions 28 to 507 of the family's 1533-position model. The record is from RNAcentral.